UUGAACGCUGGCGGCAGGCCUAACCCCUGCAAGUCGCACGGUAACAGGGAUCAGCUUGCUGAUUCGCUGACGAGUGGCGGACGGGUGAGUAAUGUCUGGGAAACUGCCUGAUGGAGGGGGAUAACUACUGGAAACGGUAGCUAAUACCGCAUAACGUCGCAAGACCAAAGAGGGGGACCUUCGGACCUCUUGCCAUCGGAUGUGCCCAGAUGGGAUUAGCUAGUAGGUGGGGUAACGGCUCACCUAGGCGACGAUCCCUAGCUGGUCUGAGAGGAUGACCAGCCACACUGGAACUGAGACACGGUCCAGACUCCUACGGGAGGCAGCAGUGGGGAAUAUUGCACAAUGGGCGCAAGCCUGAUGCAGCCAUGCCGCGUGUAUGAAGAAGGCCUUCGGGUUGUAAAGUACUUUCAGCGGGGAGGAAGGGAGUAAAGUUAAUACCUUUGCUCAUUGACGUUACCCGCAGAAGAAGCACCGGCUAACUCCGUG
This 489-nucleotide ribosomal RNA is filed under the name uncultured bacterium. Its description in RNAcentral is "partial 16S ribosomal RNA". It matches the Rfam family "Bacterial small subunit ribosomal RNA", at positions 30 to 507 of the family's 1533-position model. The record is from RNAcentral.